Molecule: long non-coding RNA, 3613 nt
Organism: Felis catus (domestic cat)
Lineage: Eukaryota; Metazoa; Chordata; Mammalia; Carnivora; Felidae
Exons: 4
Source: RefSeq, a predicted model, not a curated record
UCACCUUCUAGGGUGACAGUCACCAUGAGCUAGGGUUUGGUCCUCAGCUAUGUAGCUCCUGGCCCUCAGUUUAGUCAAGGCCCUUAGAAGGGUACUGGGGGCUGGAAGGAGGACUGAGUCAGCCAGCAAACUCCUGGAGACUUGCAGAAACAACGCACCAUGCUGGUGUUCCCACAGAGAACGACCCACCUGCAGCCAGGCACCCCUUCCCUGAAAGCAGCAGAUGGUGGGCAGAGGGUCCAAGCUCAGGGUGACAAGUGGUUGCCACCUCAAGUCCUCCAUGGAGCAUGGCGGGGUAAAAGCCAACCAGUAACAACAGGGCCCGAUGGUUUCGAGGGCUGUGGGGUAUAAACUGCCAGAGUUUGAGGAUCGGCCCCAGGCACAGACCUGCACCUGGCCAGGGUACGCGCUGGGCGCUCACUCCCAACUCCCUGGGGUUACGAGAUGGGUACGUGUGGCUGCUUCCCUGAACCCCAGCUCCAGCCUCUCUGCCCCUCGGCAAAGUCUAGAUGGAUUAUGAUGCAAUCCAUUAUGUUUUAGCUCAGCCAGAGCAUUUCAAUUGAUUAUGAUGUUGUUAACCCCAGCCAUUUUGCUGUAAUUGAUCCCUAUGGGCCUUUGUCAAUUGCUUCAGCCACACUAUAGAUGCAAAGCCAAAAGGUGCAGUGACCUGGAGCCCUAGUCUGCAAGGCCAAACGGUCACCCUUACUGCUAAAGCUAUCCUGAGCACAGCCUGCAGAAUGACCCAUCUUCCACAGGCGGCCCUGAGUUACCAGACGAAGAUUAAAUUGUGGUUGGAAUACUUCGGUUAAGGAUAGCAAUGUUUCUGAUAAGAUGCUAAUUUCUCGUGUGUCCCACAUGGGAUGUUUGAUUCAGUUCUGUGAUACUACCUGGGGCCUCUUGCAUGGCUGCUUACAUCAGUUUCAAACGCUAAUGGUGAAGUUUGGCACACAUCUGUUUCACAUCUGGCUUCCCGAUGCAACGCCUGCCUUGUGCUGCCUGCUUUGAGGUCAGAACAUAAUUGUGGUGGGUACCCCCAAGUGGGUGAGAAAAGGGCACUUCUGAGUGGACGAAGCCCUCGCCACGGACAUAUCAAGAUGGUGUGGGUGUAUCUUGGGGCAAUGAGAAGGAUGAAACUGAAAAAAGGGCAGAAACCAUGGCCCUGGAACCCAGCAGCAUCUCCCUGUGGCCAAGGCAGCAUCUCCCAAGCCGGGGUGCCUGGAGUCCCGCUACAGCACAGUGAGAUGACUUCUUUCUGGGGAGCUCACUUCAGCCUGCAGGCAGUCCGGAAGCCGAGUACCAUGGGAUCAGAGAGGAUGUUUCCAUCGCCCAUUCCAUUCCAGAGACCCCAUGUAUCAGAAGCAGCUGUGAAUCCUGAGAGUUGAAAAUUCCCUCCCAGACGAAUGAGGGGUGUUGAGGAAGUAGCCGCUUGUCAGCCAUCAUCAGUGACAGACACUUCACCCUGAACUACAGCAGGGCCCCGGGCAUGCCUGGGACCUCAGGGGGCCCAGGCCACUGUCAUCAGGGGAGAGUUGGCUCUGAGCUGACUCCAAGGAACCCCCACCCCACCUCGACCUUCUCUCCUCCUCUGAACCCCACCCCAUACCUGGCACACACACCUGUCCCCGCACCUGUCUCCAGCUCUCACGGGCAUCAACUUGACGUUAACUAUGAUGGCGCCGCUCUCGUUGAUGGCUCAAGUAGUUGGUUCCAAACACUGACUCUGAUCUGGCUGCUGUCCUGUGGCCAGCUCCAACUCUCCCCACCCCCAGGACCUUAGCCUAAUGGAGGAAGCCUAUGAAUUCCAGGUGACCUCAUUACUACCUGGGGAUGUUGGGCAAAGGAAUGCUCUUCUGUGCACCCAAUGUCUUCCUCCCUCAAAUGUACCUUGGUGCCUCAUCUCUCACUCACACUGAUGAGACGCUCUUUGCCAGGCUGCAGGACAAGAUGGAGCUUGGCACUACGGAGGGCAGACGGACCAGUGAGGAUAGAGGCUAUUGGCAGAAGGACAUAUCUCCAGCUACGUGGAGAUGGUGGGGAUGGUGGGGACAGAGAGGGCAGAGAUACUGGCUGGUGCCUGGAAGCAGGAUGCUCUCAGGUUGGCCCUGUCCCCACCUGCCUGCCUUGGGCUCUGUGUUUCCUAGGGCUAGUGCUUGCUUUGACCCCCCCCCCCCCCGCUUGGGGCCAGAUCCUUCAUCAGGGCUCCUUGGGCCAACAUAGUGCUCACACUGCCCUGUGAGCCAGCACCAUGCUCUCCAAACUCCAGCUGGUGCCCUUGGGGACAUCUUGUUGUGAGCCCAGGCACCAGCCCAGCCAGGGCUUCAAGGGGCCUGGACUGGUACCUCAUCCCUGCUGGGCCUCUGUCCCCCAGGCUCCAGGCUCCCCCAGGGGGAAUGGGACAGCCUUCACCUGCCAGCCAAUUCUUGCCCCACACUUAACCUUCCAGCCACAUCCUUCCCAUAAAACAAGGCCGCCAACACUAGGAACGUGUGGAAAAUCACACCAUCCCAGCUAAGUUGUUACAAUGAUGAUGUCACCCAGGCUCUGUCUGUGUGGCUGCUGGGGACACUGCCUUCAAGUCUUGGCCUGCAAUAUGCAGAAGCAGCUCAGCUGGGGGCAUGGCGGCCUCUGCACCCAGAAACCCAAGCCCCUGCAGGCACAGCCAAGCCUCAGCGAGGGCUCCCUGACCAACACUGUGCUCCCCGGGAUGGCCUUCGCCUUGGACUCCAAAGGCAUGGGUGGUGGCCCUGAGCUUGAGGCUUAUGUUUUGGUCAGCUGGCUCAGUAUUUUACCCAAAUUGGAAUUGGUUGCCCACAUUUAACUACUGGCAGCAUUUAAAAUCAAACCUGGGGGGCACCUGGGUAGCUCAGUCGGUUAAGCGUCUGACUCUUGAUUUCUGCUCAGGUCAUGAUCUCACAGUUCGUGAGUUCAAGCCCCUCAACGUGCUCUGUGCUGACAGCCUGGAGCCUGCUUGGGACUCUCUUUCUCUCUCUCUCUGCCCCUCCCCUGCUUGCUCUCUCUCUCUCUCUCUCUCAAAAUAAAGUAACUUAAAAAAAAAGAUCAAACCUAGAUUUUCAGUGCCACCUCCGUCAUUGUUGUACCUGUCACUCUCCUAUCCCUUACCCCCUCCCCCAUCACUGCACCCUCUAGCCCUACAUGGUUGUUUUGCAUUAAUCCCCCCACACCCCUACAUCCUUAAUCCCUGGGCUCCCGCUGUUUAUGUCCCUGCAUCCCUACACCUGCUUUCCUCAACAUGGCAUCCCUCCUCCCUCCAUCUCUCAGACCUGCAUUCUGUAUCCCUUAGCUGUGCAACCCCACAGCUCAAAUUCUGCCUCCCAGCUUUGUUCAUGCCCUCGUCCCCAAUCCCUGCUUCCUGCAUGACCCUUGCGGCUCCUACAUCCCCUCCCUCCUGCACCCUUGAGUCCUUCAUCCCUGGAUCCCUCCAUUCCUGCAUCCCUCCCUCCCAUCUCACAUCCCCACCUUCCACCUCUUCCUCUUUCUCCUCCUCUUCAUCCGUGGGCUUCUCCACUCAUUAGGCCUUCCUCAGCUCCUCCAUGGAGGACACAGGUAUUGUAGGUGCUCUUUGGGGACCCUUUCCUGCAUCCUGUGGCACAUA